Molecule: ribosomal RNA, 445 nt
Filed under: uncultured bacterium
Lineage: Bacteria
Description: SSU rRNA
Rfam family: Bacterial small subunit ribosomal RNA
Source: RNAcentral
AGAGCGAACGCUGGCGGCAGGCCUAAUACAUGCAAGUCGAACGGAUCCUUCGGGAUUAGUGGCGGACGGGUGAGUAACACGUGGGAACGUACCCUUUGGUUCGGAACAACUCAGGGAAACUUGAGCUAAUACCGAAUGUGCCCUUCGGGGAAAAGAUUUAUCGCCAUUGGAGCGGCCCGCGUCUGAUUAGCUAGUUGGUAGGGUAAAGGCCUACCAAGGCUACGAUCAGUAGCUGGUCUGAGAGGAUGAUCAGCCACACUGGGACUGAGACACGGCCCAGACUCCUACGGGAGGCAGCAGUAGGGAAUCUUGCGCAAUGGGCGAAAGCCUGACGCAGCCAUGCCGCGUGAAUGAUGAAGGUCUUAGGAUUGUAAAAUUCUUUCAGCGGGACGAUAAUGACGGUACCGCAGAAGAACGCCCGGCUAACUUCACGCCAGCACGCCGC